RNAcentral lists this ribosomal RNA (470 nucleotides) under uncultured bacterium. RNAcentral's name for it is "bacterial SSU rRNA". It matches the Rfam family "Bacterial small subunit ribosomal RNA", at positions 28 to 507 of the family's 1533-position model. The record is from RNAcentral.
GACGAACGCUGGCGGCGUGCCUAACACAUGCAAGUCGAGCGGAGACAGUGGAGUGCUUGCACAAAACUGUUUUAGCGGCGGACGGGUGAGUAACGCGUGAGCAACCUCUCUCUCAGUGGGGAAUAACACAGGGAAACUUGUACUAAUACCGCAUGAGACCACAGAACCGCAUGGUUUAGGGGUCAAAGAUUUAUUGCUGAGAGGUGGGCUCGCGUCUGAUUAGGUAGUUGGUGAGGUAACGGCCCACCAAGCCGACGAUCAGUAGCCGACCUGAGAGGGUGAUUGGCCACAUUGGGACUGAGACACGGCCCAAACUCCUACGGGAGGCAGCAGUGGGGAAUAUUGGGCAAUGGGGGAAACCCUGACCCAGCAACGCCGCGUGGAGGAAGAAGGUUUUCGGAUCGUAAACUCCUGUCCUCAGGGAAGAGCAGAAGACGGUACCUGAGGAGGAAGCCCCGGCUAACUACGUG